This 326-nucleotide long non-coding RNA is filed under the name Fragaria vesca (wild strawberry). RNAcentral describes it as "long non-coding RNA (FVES_LNC000535)". Lineage: Eukaryota; Viridiplantae; Streptophyta; Magnoliopsida; Rosales; Rosaceae. The record is from RNAcentral.
AGUCUCAAACUUGUGUUUAGGAUGUUUGACAUGGAAAUGUAUGCUGUGGACUCUUUGCUCACUCAGCCUGCUCAGCCUAUGUCAUUUUGUCCAAAGUCAUCUAAUCCUGUGCCUGCUCCUGUAACACCGGCACCGCCUAGACAAGUAGCACCGGAUCCGCCUAGACAGGUAGCACCGGUUCCUCCUAGACAAGUAACACCGGCACCGCCUAGACAAGUAACGCCAGCCAGUCCUCCACCUUACAGGCUUCCCCCAAUAGCUCCAUUGCCGCCUAUGCCUCACUUGCCACCACUUCCACCAAUGCCUCACCUGCCACCACUGCCACC